Molecule: unclassified non-coding RNA, 199 nt
Filed under: Exophiala quercina
Lineage: Eukaryota; Fungi; Ascomycota; Eurotiomycetes; Chaetothyriales; Herpotrichiellaceae
Also listed under: 2 other names
Description: partial internal transcribed spacer 2
Source: RNAcentral
UCACCCCUCGAGCCCCUGUGGCUUGGCUUUGGACGGCCUGGUCAGGCGACUGACCCCUCCUAAAGACAAUGACGGCGGCCUCGCAGGACCCCCGGUACACUGAGCUUCUUAACUGAGCACGUAUCGGAUCGAGGGUUCUCGGGGCACGGUCUCCUUUUCCCCCCUCCCCUCGGGGCGGUGGGAAAAACAAUCUUUCUCA